This 406-nucleotide ribosomal RNA is filed under the name Verrucomicrobiota bacterium. Its description in RNAcentral is "Verrucomicrobia bacterium partial 16S ribosomal RNA". It matches the Rfam family "Bacterial small subunit ribosomal RNA", at positions 355 to 776 of the family's 1533-position model. The record is from RNAcentral. Lineage: Bacteria; Pseudomonadati; Verrucomicrobiota.
UGGGGAAUAUUGGGCAAUGGGCGAAAGCCUGACCCAGCAACGCCGCGUGAGUGAUGAAGGCCUUCGGGUUGUAAAACUCUUUGGACAGGGACGAAGAAAGUGACGGUACCUGUAGAACAAGCCACGGCUAACUACGUGCCAGCAGCCGCGGUAAUACGUAGGUGGCGAGCGUUAUCCGGAUUUACUGGGCGUAAAGGGCGUGUAGGCGGCUAGAUAAGUGUGAUGUUUAAAUCCAAGGCUUAACCUUGGGGUUCAUUACAAACUGUUUAGCUUGAGUGCUGGAGAGGAUAGUGGAAUUCCUAGUGUAGCGGUGAAAUGCGUAGAUAUUGGGAGGAACACCAGUAGCGAAGGCGGCUUUCUGGACUGCAACUGACACUGAGGCACGAAAGCGUGGGUAGCAAACAGG